This 553-nucleotide ribosomal RNA is filed under the name uncultured archaeon. RNAcentral describes it as "bacterial SSU rRNA". It matches the Rfam family "Archaeal small subunit ribosomal RNA", at positions 326 to 879 of the family's 1478-position model. The record is from RNAcentral.
CGGGGUGCAGCAGGCGCGAAAACUUUACAAUGCUGGCAACAGCGAUAAGGGGACCUCGAGUGCCAGGAUACAAUCUUGGCUGUCGCGAUGCCUAAAAAGCAUUGCAUAGCAAGGGCCGGGCAAGACCGGUGCCAGCCGCCGCGGUAACACCGGCGGCUCGAGUGGUAACCGCUAUUAUUGGGUCUAAAGGGUCUGUAGCCGGCCGGAUAAGUCUCUUGGGAAAUCCAGCAGCUCAACUGUUGGGCUUUCAGGAGAUACUGUUCGGCUCGAGGCCGGGAGAGGUGAGAGGUACUUCAGGGGUAGGGGUGAAAUCUUGUAAUCCUUGAAGGACCACCAGUGGCGAAGGCGUCUCACCAGAACGGACCUGACGGCAAGGGACGAAAGCUAGGGGCACGAACCGGAUUAGAUACCCGGGUAGUCCUAGCCGUAAACGAUACUCGCUAGGUGUCAGCCACGGUGCGACCGUGGUUGGUGCCGUAGGGAAGCCGUGAAGCGAGCCACCUGGGAAGUACGGCCGCAAGGCUGAAACUUAAAGGAAUUGGCGGGGGAGCAC